This 565-nucleotide ribosomal RNA is filed under the name uncultured bacterium. RNAcentral describes it as "partial 16S ribosomal RNA". It matches the Rfam family "Bacterial small subunit ribosomal RNA", at positions 355 to 914 of the family's 1533-position model. The record is from RNAcentral.
UGGGGAAUUUUGGACAAUGGGCAAAGCCUGAUCCAGCAAUGCCGCGUGUGUGAAGAAGGCCUUCGGGUUGUAAAGCACUUUUGUCCGGAAAGAAAUCCUUGGCUCUAAUACAGUCGGGGGAUGACGGUACCGGAAGAAUAAGCACCGGCUAACUACGUGCCAGCAGCCGCGGUAAUACGUAGGGUGCAAGCGUUAAUCGGAAUUACUGGGCGUAAAGCGUGCGCAGGCGGUUUGCUAAGACCGAUGUGAAAUCCCCGGGCUCAACCUGGGAACUGCAUUGGUGACUGGCAGGCUAGAGUAUGGCAGAGGGGGGUAGAAUUCCACGUGUAGCAGUGAAAUGCGUAGAGAUGUGGAGGAAUACCGAUGGCGAAGGCAGCCCCCUGGGCCAAUACUGACGCUCAUGCACGAAAGCGUGGGGAGCAAACAGGAUUAGAUACCCUGGUAGUCCACGCCCUAAACGAUGUCAACUAGUUGUUGGGGAUUCAUUUCCUUAGUAACGUAGCUAACGCGUGAAGUUGACCGCCUGGGGAGUACGGUCGCAAGAUUAAAACUUAAAUGAAUUGAC